This 365-nucleotide ribosomal RNA is filed under the name uncultured Tetrahymena sp. Its description in RNAcentral is "SSU rRNA". It matches the Rfam family "Eukaryotic small subunit ribosomal RNA", at positions 585 to 972 of the family's 1831-position model. Lineage: Eukaryota; Ciliophora; Oligohymenophorea; Hymenostomatida. The record is from RNAcentral.
CCAGCUCCAAUAGCGUAUAUUAAAGUUGUUGCAGUUAAAAAGCUCGUAGUUGAACUUCUGUUCAGGUUCAUUUCGACUCGUCGUGUGAAACUGGACAUACGUUUGCAAACUAAAAUCGGCCUUCACUGGUUCGACUUAGGGAGUAAACAUUUUACUGUGAAAAAAUUAGAGUGUUCCAGGCAGGUUUUAGCCCGAAUACAUUAGCAUGGAAUAAUGGAAUAGGACUAAGUCCAUUUUAUUGGUUCUUGGAUUUGGUAAUGAUUAAUAGGGACAGUUGGGGGCAUUAGUAUUUAAUAGUCAGAGGUGAAAUUCUUGGAUUUAUUAAGGACUAACUAAUGCGAAAGCAUUUGCCAAAGAUGUUUUCA